UUUCGGCCAUCUGCCAAUAGACAGGGGACCUGCCUCGUAGGGACCGGGUCGGUUAGGCUAAAGGAUGAUGGGGUUCCUAAGGAAACCAGCUCUUCUGGUUGGUUCAGGUUUCUGGUGUGCCAGGCCUGAUGCCAGGGACUGUGGUGAUCAAGAUGAAUCAGACCUGGGCCCUGCCCUCAAGGAAGCUCAGGCCACCACAUUUGGAUGCCAACCUCCCAUGACGCUGGACACGGUCUGUGACAUCACAUACUGGUUCAUGGGUGAGGCCCCAGGAUAGCAUUUCAAUCUGUCAUGGACCACUCCCUCCUUCUGGAAACUUCUUUUACAGCCUCCUCUCUCCUGCCUCACUUCCUCUCCAGCUGAUCCCCAGAGCAUUCCAACAGUGGCCUCUCACAACCAUUUCUUUAUUGUGG
Long non-coding RNA from Phodopus roborovskii (desert hamster), 413 nucleotides. RefSeq lists it as uncharacterized. NCBI's taxonomy places the organism in Eukaryota, Metazoa, Chordata, Mammalia, Rodentia, Cricetidae. The transcript has 3 exons. The record is from RefSeq and is a predicted model, not a curated record.